CCUACGGGAGGCAGCAGUAGGGAAUUUUCGGCAAUGGGGGGAACCCUGACCGAGCAACGCCGCGUGAACGAAGAAGUUAUUCGUAAUGUAACGUUCUUUUAACAGGGAAGAAAGAGAAAUUUGACGGUACCUGAAGAAUAAGCUCCGGCUAACUACGUGCAAGCAGCCGCGGUAUUACGUAGGGAGCGAGCGUUAUCCGGAAUGAUUGGGGGUACAGGGAGCGUAGGCCGGUCUUUAAGCGUGCCGUGAAUGUUUGUGGCUAAACCAUGAGAGUGCGGCGCGAACUGGAGACCUUGAGUGCGCGGAAGGCAGGCGGAAUUCGUGGUGUAGCGGUGAAAUGAUUAGAUAUCACGAAGAACCCCGAUUGCGAAGGCAGCCUGCCGCAGCGUUACUGACGCUGAAGCUCGAAAGCGCGGGUAUCGAACAGGAUUAGAUACCCCGGUAGUC
This 447-nucleotide ribosomal RNA is filed under the name uncultured bacterium. RNAcentral's name for it is "partial 16S ribosomal RNA". It matches the Rfam family "Bacterial small subunit ribosomal RNA", at positions 338 to 795 of the family's 1533-position model. The record is from RNAcentral.